Molecule: RNA transcript, 13168 nt
Organism: Symphalangus syndactylus (siamang)
Lineage: Eukaryota; Metazoa; Chordata; Mammalia; Primates; Hylobatidae
Gene: NRDE2
Gene name: NRDE-2, necessary for RNA interference, domain containing
Source: RefSeq, a predicted model, not a curated record
UCCGCUUCGGGGUCAAGCCCCAGAGAGCGCCGCGAAAACCACAUUUCCCAGAGUGCACCGCGACGGCAGGGGUCCUCAGACAGGCUCUCGCGCGCCGGCGUCAUCUUUAUAAAGAAGAACGGCGGUGCGGCCUGUGGUCAUGGCGCUGUUCCCAGCCUUUGCGGCGCUUAGUGAGGCUCCCGAUGGCGGGAGCUCCAGGAAAGAGUUAGACUGGCUGAGCAACCCAAGCUUUUGUGUCGGAUCCAUAACGUCCCUGAGCCAACAAACUGAAGCAGCCCCAGCCCAUGUUUCUGAAGGGCCACCGCUGACGAGGAGUCAUCUGAAAUCAGAGUCUUCAGAUGAAAGUGACACUAACAAAAAGCUCAAACAAACAAGCAGAAAAAAGAAGAAAGAGAAAAAGAAAAAAAGGAAGCAUCAGCAUCAUAAGAAAACAAAGAGGAAGCAUGGGCCGUCGAGUAGCAGCAGGUCUGAGACAGACACUGAUUCUGAAAAGGACAGACCUUCCAGAGGCGUCAGAGGCAGUAAAAAGGAAUCUGAGAAACCGAAUCAAGGAAAUAAUGCUGCAGCUGAUACUGGACAUCGCUUUGUUUGGCUUGAGGACAUUCAGGCUGUGACAGGAGAAACCUUCAGAACAGAUAAGAAACCAGAUCCUGCGAACUGGGAGUACAAGUCUCUCUACCGAGGGGAUAUAGCAAGAUACAAGAGGAAAGGAGACUCCUGCCUUGGCAUUAACCCUAAGAAGCAGUGCAUAUCUUGGGAAGGGACUUCCACAGAGAAGAAGCAUUCACGCAAGCAGGUUGAACGCUAUUUUACUAAGAAGAGUGUGGGAUUAAUGAACAUUGAUGGAGUUGCCAUUAGCAGUAAAACUGAACCUCCCUUAUCUGAGCCCAUCUCCUUUAUACCAGUGAAGGACUUGGAAGAUGCGGCUCCUGUUACAACCUGGUUGAAUCCUCUGGGGAUUUAUGAUCAGUCAACCACACAGUGGCUACAAGGACAGGGUCCUCCAGAGCAGGAAUCAAAGCAGCCAGAUGCACAGCCAGACAGCGAGAGUGCGGCUCUCAAGGCCAAGGUGGAGGAGUUUAACAGGAGAGUGCGGGAGAAUCCUCGGGAUACGCAGCUGUGGAUGGCAUUCGUUGCUUUUCAGGACGAGGUCAUGAAAAGUCCUGGCCUGUAUGCCAUCGAGGAAGGAGAGCAGGAAAAGCGAAAGAGGUCCCUGAAGCUCAUUCUGGAGAAGAAGCUGGCCAUUCUGGAGCGGGCCAUUGAGAGCAACCAGAGCAGUGUGGAUCUGAAACUGGCCAAGCUGAAGCUCUGCACAGAGUUCUGGGAGCCCUCCACUCUGGUCAAAGAGUGGCAGAAACUGAUAUUUUUGCAUCCCAAUAAUACAGCCCUUUGGCAGAAAUACCUUUUAUUUUGCCAGAGCCAGUUUAGUACCUUUUCGAUAUCAAAAAUUCACAGCCUUUAUGGAAAAUGCUUGAGCACUUUGUCUGCUGUUAAGGACGGCAGCAUCUUAUCUCACCCUGCGUUGCCUGGCACGGAAGAGGCCAUGUUUGCACUCUUUCUUCAGCAGUGCCACUUUCUGCGGCAGGCUGGCCACUCUGAGAAGGCCGUCUCAUUGUUCCAGGCCAUGGUGGACUUCACCUUCUUCAAACCCGACAGCGUGAAAGAUCUGCCUACCAAAGGACAGGUGGAAUUCUUUGAGCCCUUUUGGGACAGUGGAGAGCCCCGGGCUGGGGAGAAGGGAGCCCGAGGCUGGAAGGCGUGGAUGCACCAGCAGGAACGAGGUGGCUGGGUGGUCAUCAACCCAGAUGAGGAUGACGAUGAACCAGAAGAGGACGACCAGGAAAUAAAAGAUAAGACUCUGCCCAGGUGGCAGAUCUGGCUUGCUGCUGAGCGUUCCCGAGAUCAGAGGCACUGGCGGCCCUGGCGCCCUGAUAAGACCAAGAAGCAAACUGAGGAAGACUGUGAGGAUCCCGAGAGACAGGUGUUGUUUGAUGAUAUUGGGCAGUCUUUGAUCAGACUUUCCAGCCACGAUCUUCAGUUCCAGCUGGUGGAGGCCUUCCUGCAGUUCUUGGGUGUGCCUUCUGGCUUUACUCCUCCAGCUUCCUGUCUUUAUCUGGCCAUGGAUGAGAACAGCAUCUUUGAUAAUGAACUUUAUGAUGAAAAGCCCUUGACUUUUUUCAACCCUUCGUUUUCUGGGGCUAGCUGUGUUGGUCGCUUGGAUAGGUUAGGCUGUCCUCGCUGGACCAGGAGUCAGAACCGAGAGGGCGAGGAGUUCAUCCGCAAUGUCUUCCACCUUGUCAUGCCCUUGUUUUCAGGCAAAGAGAAGUCCCAGCUCUGCUUCUCCUGGUUACAGUAUGAGAUUGCAAAGGUCAUUUGGUGCCUGCACACUAAAAACAAGAAGAGAUUAAAGUCACAAGGGAAGAACUGCAAAAAACUAGCCAAGAAUCUCCUUAAGGAGCCAGAAAACUGCAACAACUUUUGCCUGUGGAAGCAGUAUGCACAUCUGGAGUGGUUGCUUGGCAACACAGAGGAUGCCAGAAAAGUUUUUGACACAGCACUCGGCAUGGCAGGAAGCAGAGAACUGAAAGACUCUGACCUCUGUGAGCUCAGUCUGCUCUAUGCUGAGCUGGAGGUGGAGCUGUCGCCAGAAGUGAGAGGGGCCACCACAGCCCGAGCUGUUCACAUAUUAACCAAGCUGACUGAGAGCAGCCCCUAUGGGCCCUACACUGGACAGGUGUUGGCUGUUCACAUUUUGAAAGCGCGAAAGGCUUAUGAGCACGCGCUGCAGGACUGCUUGGGUGACAGCUGUGUCUCUGAUCCAGCUCCCACCGAUUCCUGUAGCCGCCUAAUUAGCCUGGCUAAAUGCUUCAUGCUCUUCCAGUAUUUGACCAUAGGGAUUGAUGCUGCUGUGCGGAUAUACGAACAGGUGUUUGCAAAACUGAACAGUUCUGUUUUCCCAGAAGGCUCUGGCGAGGGGUACAGUGCCAGCUCCCAGAGUUGGACCAGUGUUCUCGAAGCCAUCACACUGAUGCACACGAGCCUGCUGAGAUUCCACAUGAAAGUGAGUGUUUACCCACUGGCCCCUCUGCGAGAGGCACUCUCACAGGCUUUAAAGUUGUAUCCGGGCAACCAGGUUCUUUGGAGGUCCUAUGUACAGAUUCAGAAUAAGUCCCACAGUGCCAGCAAGACCAGGAGAUUUUUUGACACAAUCACGAGGUCUGCCAAACCCUUGGAGCCUUGGUUGUUUGCAAUUGAAGCUGAGAAACUGAGGAAGAGACUGGUGGAAACUGUCCAGAGGUUAGACGGUAGAGAGAUCCAUGCCACAAUUCCUGAGACCGGCUUAAUGCAUCGGAUCCAAGCCCUGUUUGAAAAUGCCCUGUGCAGCGACAGUGGCAGCCAGUGCCCCUUGCUGUGGAGGAUGUAUUUGAACUUUCUGGUUUCCUUGGGAAAUAAAGAAAGAAGCAAAGGUAUAUUCUACAAAGCACUUCAGAAUUGUCCUUGGGCAAAGGUGUUGUACCUGGAUGCUGUGGAGUACUUCCCCCAUGAGAUGCAGGAGAUCCUGGACCUGAUGACUGAGAAGGAGCUCCGGGUGCGCCUGCCGCUGGAGGAGCUGGAGCUGCUGCUGGAGGAUUAGAGAGCAGCGGGGAAAUGGGCUGUGCCUGCGAGGCUAAGUUGCCCACCCUGCGGAGCUAGGAGGCGCGAGCGGAGAACGGAAUUGCUGUAUACUUGUAUCUCCUCGGCACCACGUCUAGAAAAGCCAGUGUAUAAUUUUGGCUGGUAACUGAUGGACACGGCGGGCAGCAGCAGGCAGGGCAGCGCACGAGAGCACCUCCCAGGGCACGGUGGGAAACUGGCCAGCCCAGCCCCGCUACUGCCCUCUCCUGCUCGUCCCCAGUCCCUGAGCUACAGGUGGCUGUAGGCAGAAGCCCACUGGGUGUUCCUUAGCGACAGACAGGUCGUCACCUGCUCCCCUUGAUGCCUUUUCACAGAAACAACCCUCAACUUGAGGAAGUUGAGAGCUCGACUCCAAGGUGGACUUGCUCCCCCUCCCCAAGAGCUGACUGGCUUGAACUGUCAUGAGUUCCUGGCUGCCCACAAUGAGGGACCUUCUCCACCCUUGGCCUCUGCGCGGGGCGGACAUCAGCCAGAUACAUCACAGACCUGAUUGGGGGCAGGGAGUAAGGAAGUCCAGGACCAAACCAUGCUCCCCAUGACGGCAGCUGGCGCCUCAGUCCCCAUCUGACUCAUGUUUCUUCUCAUCUGGUUCAGGACUUAGAAGGGCAUGGCCUCUGAUCAGCUGGUCCCCUCAAACCCCAGUGGCAACCUGUCCCUUGAGAGCCAGGAAUGGCUCUUAGCAGUGGGCAGUGAGCCCCCGAGAGGAUAAAGCGGCUGCUCGAACAGAUUGCGAGCACAUUACUUGCUGCAUGGGAAGAGGCUUAAAACAAAUCAAAGAUUCUUUAAGGGCAUUUUACAGAAAACAAGAUGUCGAGAGCAUCACUGUUAUUUAAAAGCCUGUUUGAGGCCGGGCGCGGUGGCUCACGUCUAUAAUCCCAGCACUUUCGGAGGCUGAGGCGCAUGGAUCACGAGGUCAGGAGAUCGAGACCAUCCUGGCUAACACGGUGAAACCCCCGUCUCUACUAAAAAUACAAAAAAUUAGCCAGGCGUGGUGGCGGGCGCCUGUAGUCCCAGCUGCUCGGAAGGCUAAGGCAGGAGAAUGGUGUGAACCUGGGAGGCAGAGCUUGCAAUGAGCCAAGAUCAUGCCACUGCACUCCAGCCUGGGCGACACAGCGAGACUCCGUCUCCAAAAUAAAAAAAAAAAGCCUGUUUGAGAUUGCUGACAUGAAGUUCUGAAAGACGACUACGUGCCUCCCAAGACUAACUGUCAGCUCAGAGGGCUGAGAAGGGGGUUCUGAGCUCAAGUCAAACAGUGGCUCAUGCGUUUCAUCAGUAACGCUCGUCAUUUCCCCAAAGGAGUCACUGAUCACGUCAGACCACAGGGGUCGGCCCACCUCAGGUUUGGGACAGUGUUCUUUCCUGGAAUGAAGCAGUGGCAAUGCCUCUGGCACAGGAUUGCUGGGCCUGCGGGAGGCCGGGAGGUACCUCUGUGCUGUGUCCCCAGUUGGAGGAGGCAGCUACUACUUGUAAGGCACGCAUAUUAUUUUGCAUUGGAAAAGUGAAGAUGGGCUUGCUGCAGAGGGAGUGAUGGCAGAGUUCACCUUGAAUGGUUCUACUGAGGAAGGGCUCCAAAGAGCCAGUGGGUUUUCCGCAGGCAGACGGGGCUCUCCCUGUCUGGCUCACCAGUGCAGGAAGCCAGGGAAGAAAUUACUGUGGGAAUUCUGUUAUUUCACAAGCACUUCAUCCCUGCAUCCCUGCACUUGGCACCGCAGGCCUCAGUGACCAGCUGCCGAAACGGUAAUUUCAGCAUUUUGGUCAAUAAGCAAACUGGAGAAGCAGCUGGGGUGGGGUGCAGUUCAGCCCGCUACCCUGACACUCUAGGCCCUGGCAUUUGCUUUAGCUGCUUUUGUAGAAUUGACAUGAGGGAGACUGUCCCUCUAGAGGAAAAGGCUCAGCUAUUACCAAUGAGGAAAAGGCAAUACUGAUGUGCUAGGGUUUUUUGUUUUUUUUAAUCUCAAACUUACGGAAAAGAUGCAAGUACGUUACAAAGAAUUUUGUUUCCUGAACCAUGUGAGUCAGUUGCUGAUAGUCUGCUACCCGUCCACGAUACAGACACUGAACAGGAAGUCAGCAUGGACACAGUACUCCCAGCGGGUCCUCAGGCCUGGUCAUGUCCUCUAGGAAAAGGAUCCAGUUCAGGAGCAGGAGCUGCACUUGGUUGUCAUCUCUUUGGUCUCCUUCUGAUUGGAAGCUUUUUGACUUCCAAGACGUGGAUACUUUUGAAGUGUUCUGAAUUUGUAGAAUGUUCCUCAGUUUGUGUUUGCCUGGUGUUUCCUCAUCACUGGAUUCAGGCUAAGCAUCUUUGGCAGGAGUGUGACAGCACUGACACUCUUGGGUGGCACGUACUUUCAAAGUGCCCGUUACUGAUGUGCAUUUUGACCACAUGGUGAAGACAGUGUCUGCUGGGCCUCUCCAGUGUGACUUUCCCUUUCUAACUGAACAGUGUUUUGUGGGAGACUCUCAAAAUCUGUAAGUACCCCUUCCUCAGCAAACUUUCAGAUCAAUUCGUAUGUAUUGGUGUGUGUGUGCAGUUCCCUAUUUAAAGGGCUGUACUGUAUUCCAUUAACAGUUAACUGUUAGGAUGCUCAGAUUGUCCCAGGUUUGGCCAGUGGAAGCCCCUACACAUAGGCUUUGGUGUCCUUUGGACGUGUCCCUAUCAUUCCUUGAGCACUCCCUUGCUUUCUGGCAAAACAGAUUUUGGGUUCAUCUUGUCCUUUCCCUGCCUAGCCCUGAAAUCAUUCCUCACUCCUUUUAGUGUUAGUGGAGAAUAAUACUUACCAGCAAAGGUCUGGGUCUAGGGGUGCUCACUGCAGUUGGGGUGUCACUGUUCCCAGGCGCUCCCAGUGGACAGACGUCGUUCUCGUUUUCUUCUUUCUGUGUCUAACUCCUCAGAGAAACCUGGCUCCCACCGUCCUGUUUACCUACCUGACUGCCUCCAUACAUAAGCAGCCUCCCUCCCCUGCCACCUCCCUCCCCUGCCACCUCCCUCCCCUGCCACCUCCUUCCCCUGCCACCACUCCGUCCCUGCAGAUGCCUUCCUCACCCACUUGGGCUCUCAUACUGCACAUCAGGCUGCCCACACUGACUCCCCGUAUCAGACCACCCCAGCCCUGCACGUACACCCCACACGGAUGCCAGCCCUCACCCUGCCCAUGCUGAGUCCCCGUGCUGUGGUGUUCCUCCACAUGGACAGCUCCACACCCUGCCUGGGCUGACACCCGCCCUCCCCACAAGCACCCUGUCCUCACCCUGCACUGGGCCACCCCCACGUGUGGAUGUCCUCGGUGGUAGGCAGAGUGGCGCCCCUAAAGAUGGCCACACCCUAAGCCCUGGAACAUGUGACUGUUACAUGGCAAAAGGAACUUUGCAGAUAAAAAUUAAGAUUGUAAACUUUAAAACAGGGAAAUUAUCCUGGAUUAUCUGCACAGGUCCAAUGUAAUCAAUCACAAGGGUCCAUAAGAGUAGAAAAGGCAGGCAGAAAGAAGCAUCAGUGGGAGAGAAGGACUGGGCCUGCUGCUGCUGGUGGAAGAUGAAGGGCCACGAGUCAGGAGGGAGGGUGGCCUUCACAGACUGGCAAAGGCCUCAGCUGGCAGCCAGCAAGGAAAUGCUGACCUUGGCCGGCCCCACAACUCCAGGAAACUAAAUUCUGCCAACAACCCUCAGCAAGGAAGCAGAAUCUCCCUUAGAGACGCCAGAGAACGGUCCUGCCAACAGCAAGACUUUAGCCUGGAGACACCCGUGUUGGACUUCUGACCUACAGAACUGAGAUAAAAUUGUGGUUUUUAUUUAUUUUUUAUUCUUUUUUGAGACAGAGUCUUGUUGUGUCGCCCAGGCUGGAGUGCAGUGACGCAAUCUUGGCUCACUGCAACCUCCGCCUCCUGGGUUCAAGCGAUUCUCCUGCCUCAGCCUCCUGACUAGCUGGGACUACAGGCACCCGCCACCACGCACGGCUAAUUUUUGUAUUUUUAGUAAAGACGGGGUUUCACCAUGUUGGCCAGGCUAGCCUCGAACUCCUGACCUUGUGAUCCGCCUGCCUCAGCUUCCCAAAGUGCUGGGAUUACAAGCGUGAGCCACCAUGCCUGGCCAAAUUGUGCUGUUUUUAAACAAAGCCUGUGGUAACUUGUUAUGGUAUUAACAGAAAACUAAUACACACUCCUCAUUCAAUGUGGGCACCUACAACCCAUGCCAGGCCACCUGUCAAGGGAACGCUUACCGUGAUCUGCCCCACUUAGUAGCUUUAGGCCUGAUUUGUUGAGAAAGAGAAACGACAGAAAUAGAUGGAGAAAGGGAAGGGUAAGUUCCGACAUGUUUCUGAACACCUUGAAAGGGAUGAGGUUUCUGAGCCCAAGAACAAGGGCUUUUGAGAUAUCUCUAGGAAUCCUCAGUCUCUUGGGAACACCAGUAGUUAUUUUCUGCCCUCAGAGUGCUGAGAACAUGCAUGGUCCACAAAACUUCCAAAAAGGAAAGCUGUACUUCCUUUGGAAGCAACAGCCACAUUAACUCAGCCUUUAUUAUUUAAACAACGAAUAUCCCUGGCUCUGUGGUAGUAACCAUUUCCCACUGUAAUUACUGUUGAACGCCAGCUCUGGGGGUAUGAUGCGGGGAACGCAUAGUGAGGUCCACACUCCUUGUGACCGCAGCCUGAGUUCCUGUCCAAAGGCUUCCCUGCAGCUGGGUCCACCCACAGGCUGCUGCUGAGCGGUAGGUGUGUGUGAAGACUGCAGAAACAGGAAGUGUUUGUGAAAGAGCACGCUUUAUUGGGAAGCAGACUGCUGCACAGUGACCAACAGACAGGCCACCCAAUGGGCACUUACACAUCGUACUCCAAAAGACACAGGAUGUUUUGCUAAUAAAAAUCAAUGAGAACAGGGAUUCCUCUGGGCAACUCCCCCAACCUCAUCCCUUUCAGGGAUUGAGAAAUCUCCCAACCAUUUUCCUGAUGGCAGCCAUGGUUCAUUAGAGAUACAGCCCCUCAGGGGUGCCUUCCUGUUUCUUAUAAAGAACAUUUUCUUUAGAUUUUUUGAAGUCUUCAUUUGUUACUUUCAUUCUACGUUCUCUUAAGGCCAUCAGACCAGCUUCUGUACAGAUUGCCUGUAAGAAACAACAGUGUGUUCAGGAAGUGAAAUACUCAUUUUUAUUCUAACAAGGAAUUCCAAAAAACCUAGUCUGAGGCCAGGUGCGGUGGCUCACACCUGUAAUCCCAGCACUCUGGGAGGCCGAGGCAGGUGGAUCGCCUGAGGUCAGGAGUUCAAAACCAGCCUGGCCAACAUGGUGAAACCCCAUCUCUACUAAAAAUACAAAAAAUUAGCCAGGGACGGUGGCAGGCACCUGUAAUCCUAGCUACUCAGGAGGCUGAGGCAGGAGAAUUGCUUGAACCCGGGAAGUGGAGGUUGCAGUGAGCCGAGAUCACCCCACUGCACUCUAGCCUGGGCAACAAGAGCAAAACUAUCUCAAAAAAAAAAGUCUAUUCUGAAGUAAAGCAUGAGACACCUAGACUAAACACAAACUGUUUAUUUGGGAAAGAUUUGAUUUUUUAAAAAAAUGUUUUAAGCAUCCUAUUUUCUGAAAGGAUGCGAAAUGGCUUAAACUGGGAGUUACUGUAACUAAGAAGACUGGCCCAAGGGUCAGGGCUGUGGGUUCUAGUUUUGGCUCAGGUUCUAACAAGCUAUGUGGCUUGGCAGAUCAAUAAAUUCUUACACCACCACUUUCGUUAAAGAGAAUAAUAUUCCUAGGAAAUAAACAAAAUUAUGCCCUGAAACUUAGAGGCAAUUGACAGUAUAUGUCUAUUUCAUUUACCUGUAGUCAUAAAAGAACAUGUAUUCUGGUUAGAUACUGUAAGUGGCAGUAUCUAUACUAUGGAAUAAUACUACAGAGUAUAGCAUUUAUUUCAAUAUAUUUAAUUUCUCAGUAAUUACUUGCCCAAAGUAAAAGAAAACAAUAACCCAUGUUACAUAGGUUGCUGUUACUGUUUUAGGCCUGAUCUGUUUAGAAAGGAAAGAGAAAUGAAGGAAAUAGAUAGAGAAGGACAGCAAACAAACAUAUUACGUGGGUUAUUGUUUUCUUUUUCUUUUGGCCAGUAAUUACUGUGGCAAAAAACACAAUCCUGGCACAGAAGUUUGUUUGGUGAUGGCCAUCAGGUCAUUUACUUCAAAUGGUUCGGGUGAAAAAGUUUUGUGUACAGAAAGAGAAAAAGCAAAUGGGUAAAAUGUUAACUCUUGGCAAAUCACUGUGCUAUUGCUGCAACUUUUUUGAAGGCUUGAAAAUUGUCAGUUUUUAUCUUAAAAAUAAAGUUUUAAGAUCUUCCAAUUUUUAAAAAAGAAGAUAGAUUUUACUCGCCAACAGAGACAUCUAGUUCUCUAGGACUAACUGCCAAUGAUCCGUGGGCUCAGGGCAGGUGCUGGCCUAGAAAGGCACUGCUUUUGCUGUCCCUACCUAACCACGGCACUUAUGCCUGACGAAAACCCAGCUCUUUCCAGGGGAAGCAGGUUGAACCCAUAUUCAACGCUGCCAGGCCUUGCUGUAAAUUCUGGUCAGCCGGGAGGAAAUGUCUGAACUCAUGUACAUUUGUCAUAAAACCAAGAAGUAUAAUCUGGUACAACCUUCCAGAACACAAAUUGGGACAUGAAUGCAGUGGGUGCUUGGUCCCCACUCUGCGGCUCUGGGGAGAGUUCUCCCAGGACAUACCCUUCCCCGACCUGGGACUAAGCAGCUACAUUUGACACACCUUGAGAAAGUCACCUGGGCCUAAGGCAGCUUAGUACCAGAGACUCAGCCUUGUGGCUCCAGGUGAUUUAGGGUCAUUCACUGCAUAAAAUGAUGCAUUAAAAAUGACUUCAAAUAACAAGCACAUAUACCAUUUGGAUAUAAUCGUAAACCACUAUGAUGAUUAAAAUAUAGACACCCACCUGUCCAGGCCAACCACCAUCCCAAGAGCACAUAUAGACUCUUUCCUGAUUGACAGCCACAUUCCCAGAAAUAAGCUGACACGGCUAGGCUCUCACCUUGAUGUCAGCACCAGAGAGGUCAUCUUUAGCCAUGAUCAAGUCGUCCAGGGUUACAUCAUCAGCCAGUGUCAUCCUGCUUGUGUGAAUCUGAAAGAUGCGCUUCUUCGUCUUUUCAUCAGGCAGGGGGAACUCAAUCUUCCUGUCAAUGCGGCCUGCAGGUACGAAAAGAUUUUAAGUCACACUACCAUCCAAACCCAGGCUUGGCCAUGGCUCAGAGGCCUCAGCCCAUCUCCUUAAAUAUGAAGUUUCAGUCAGACAGUAUUCUGUGGGAAGGAUGUCCAAAUUUUAAAAAGUAAACAUACAUCUUUGUAAGUUUGUAAAUUUCUACAUUUGAAUUCUCUUCAUUUAAAAGAAACUCUCUGCUUUGGUACCUUCAGAAAUAAAUGAAAGGAGCAAUUCCUGAGUGAAACUGGACAGACCUAUUGUGUUAAAAACAUUACAAAAGACAGCAAACAAAUCACUGUUUCUUCUGAUGCUACCUGAAUGUAAAAAGGACAAAUCCUACCAUCACAUGAAUUAUUUCUUCCAGAAAAAGCAGCAAGUUCUUGAGGCUAAAAAGGGAAUAUUAUGGAAAAGAAAAGAUCAAGACAUAAGACUGGAAUUCAAAGGGCCAAGGUGCACAGACCAUAUCAUGCUCUGUUUUAACUCUCAUCUCAAGGGGACCUAUUUUUUUUUAAAUUAUCCUAAGUUUCACUGCAGUAUUUGCUUUUUUAUGUAUUAUUUUAUAGGCCUCCCAAAGCACACUUAAACACAAAUACAUAAACACAUUAAUCUCCAUGAUGAAACAAAAGCAAAUUUAACCUGGUCUGAUAAGUGCUGGAUCCAAAGUUUCUAUUCGGUUUGUGGCCAUGAUAACUUUCACAUCUCCCCUAGAAUCAAAUCCAUCCAACUGGUUCAGCAGUUCCAACAUUGUUCGCUGAAUUUCUCUCUCACCACCAGAAUUGGAGUCAUAUCUUUGGAAAAAAAAGGAAGGAAUGAAGACCCAACUGAUCGCCUGCUCAAGGGGAAUUACAGCAAAGACCUCAUUGUGACAAAACACCUUACAAACAUUCCUGUUUCAACUCACAUGGCACUCCCUCAAUUAUGCUCAGAAAAAAACACAUUCAGCACCCCUUGCCAUGGUCUGAAUGUAUUUCCCCAAAUUUAUGUGUUGAAACUUAAUCCCUACUGGGUGGUUAAGAGAUGAGGCCUUUUGGAAAGGGCUAAAGGCAUGAGGCAGAGCCUUAUACAGCAUGAGUUCCUUAUAAAAAGAGAAAAAGGCCUUAUACAGCAUGUAUUCCUUAUAAAAAUGCUGCAGGGAACUAGCGUAGGCCCUUUUUGCUCUUCCAUUUGUCCCCUUAGCAUUUGUCCCCUCUACAGAAUAGGUGCCAUCUCGGAAGCAGAGAGCAGCCCUCACUAGACGUCAAUGCCAGUGCCUUGAUCUUGGGCUUCUCAGCCUCCGGAACUGUGGGAAAUACAUUUCUAUUCUUUAUACAAAUACCAGUCCUAAGGUAUUUUGUUUAGCAGCACAAAUGGACUAAGACGCUCCCCAUCAGCCAAGUUACAGAUCAUAUUUUUUCAUGGCAGUUUCUGUGCCUGAAAUUGUAUCAUUUAUUCUGUUUCCAUGUUUGGUAUCUGAUCCCUACAACCUGUGAGCUCCUCCAGGGCAGAGACUGUUGUGCUCACAACUGUGUCCCUAGAGUCCAGAUGGUCCUGGCUCAGGGCGGGUGCUCAAGACAUGGUUAUUCACAAGUGGCCAACCUCUCUAGACAUUCACAGUUCCUGGGCAGUUGUUAGCUGGCUCCUGGGAGAGCAGAGCCUAAAGCAUGCAUGGAAGGCCACGCAUGGCAAGAACUGUGGCCACAGGGAGAGCCCCCUGAGAUCGUUCAUUUUCAAGAGAAGAGCUAUGCGGUGUUCCCUCUAAACAAGGCAAAAUAAGUAUGAGAAAGUCUACCUUUUUGUCCCAAUGGCAUCAAUUUCAUCAAUAAACACGAUGGACGGUGCAUGUUCUUCAGCAACUCGAAAUAAUUCCCGUACGAGUUUGGGCCCAUCACCUAGGUACUUCUGAAUAAGUUCAGAGCCAACCACUCUCAAGAAAGUGGCUGAGGUUUGGUUUGCUACUGCUUUGGCUAACAAGGUUUUACCUAUUUUAGAUGAAAAAAGAUAAAAAAAAAAAGACACCUGAAGUGCCGUUUUUAACUUAAAAACUCGUAUCAUUACCACCUUAAAUGGACACCAAAAACAGGUGUGCCCUCAUGCUAAGGCAUGCCACCAAUUCAAGUGUCACGACAUUUCAUUCUCCUAAGUAGAUAAGAGGACAUUUAGAAAAAUCUACUAACAUGUUUGGAUUAUCCUUAGCUAUUUUCCUGAAUUUAUGAUAACGUCAGAAAAUACUUUUUACUUGGUUAUUUUCCAACCCUGACCCAGUUUCCCCUGAAGAGCUGCGAACUAUAAUUACCUGUACGAAGAAUUGCUUCGUACCAGCAAUGAAAUAAAUCUCAUUUUUUUUC